AUAUUACUAAGUCAUUACAUAAACAAUAGCAAUAGCAUUUAGACUUAUGUACCAUCUCACCGUGCUUUAUAGCCUCUCUAAUUCUUUUACAGAGUCAGCAUAUUGCCCCCAACAAGCUGGGUCCUCAUUUUACCCACCUCAGAAGAAUGGAAGGCUGAGUCAGCCUUGAGCCUUGUGAGAUUUGAACUGCCAAA
Non-coding RNA from Notechis scutatus (mainland tiger snake), 194 nucleotides. NCBI's taxonomy places the organism in Eukaryota, Metazoa, Chordata, Lepidosauria, Squamata, Elapidae. The record is from RefSeq and is a predicted model, not a curated record.